AAAUUACUGCUGUUGGUCUCUGCAGUCUCAAAAAUGGAGUGCCGGAAAUCGAGUCUUGCAAGGAUCUUUCCUAUUUUCUAUGAGAUGGUUGCAGAUCUUACACCACAAACAAACGCACUAUCCUGAACUGGGGUUUUGCUUGGUACAAUUUCAUUUGGAGUCCUCGGCUAUGCUUUUUCCAGGAACUGGAAUAAGUGGAAAGUGUGGAGGCUACAGAGGCAAAUACAGCAAUCAAUCCAUGGCACUGACAGCAACGCCGAAGCUCAAAUUCAAGAAGAGGAGGAUGCAGGAUAUUCCAGACGGACAGUUGACGAGG
Molecule: long non-coding RNA, 316 nt
Organism: Malus domestica (apple)
Lineage: Eukaryota; Viridiplantae; Streptophyta; Magnoliopsida; Rosales; Rosaceae
Source: RefSeq, a predicted model, not a curated record